UUUGCACAUGAUAAUUUCUUCUUUCAUAAAUAGCAGCAAAUAUGCUUCUCUCCCCUCUGUCUCUCCCUCUCUCUCAGGAUAUCAGGCAGAUAAGAGUUAUCAGUAAAGGUCAUCCUCAAUUUCUGUACAGAAAUGAUCUGUCUCCGGUAUGUAAUAAACAUUUAUCCAUGCCUUUAUUAGCUAUAUUGAAGCUGACAGUUCUGUUAAACCAUUUUCUUUCAUUUUGCUAGGUCAUGACGGUUAAUGCUGCUAAAAAAUCUCAUCACUGCUUUUGAUCACUGUAUUGUCUUCCCUGUAUUAUCAGAAUUUUGUGAAGGGAUCAGUUCUCUAGAAGUAGACAGACAAAAGAAGAAAAAAAGCAAAAGCAAGAAGAACCCACCCAUUGAUACACAUCGUCAGACAAAUGAGAUGUGCAACAGAAAAACAAGAUGCAGGGUAAAACUUGCAUCCAUGCCUUUCCAUUUUUCCUUCAUCCAAGCUACUUAACUUCUCUCCUCAGUCAAAAGAGUUUUUAAGAAAAGGAAAACAACAAAGUAGCCACAAAAACAUCUGCCUUUAUUAAUGGACCAAGGAUCUUAUAAACUUAUGAAACAGAAUUUAGUUGUCAAUUUCAAGAAAAUAAUUCAGAUAAAUUAAUAAACUGUCUGAAAUUUCAAACA
This 659-nucleotide long non-coding RNA is filed under the name Vulpes vulpes (red fox). RNAcentral describes it as "lncRNA (ENSVVUG00000024777.1)". Lineage: Eukaryota; Metazoa; Chordata; Mammalia; Carnivora; Canidae. The record is from RNAcentral.